Molecule: non-coding RNA, 113 nt
Organism: Acanthosepion pharaonis
Lineage: Eukaryota; Metazoa; Mollusca; Cephalopoda; Sepiida; Sepiidae
Source: the annotation of a GenBank genome assembly
UUACGGCCACAUCACGUUGGAACACCGGUUCCCAUACGAUCACUGAAGUUAAGCCGUUUCGAGCCUAGUCAGUAUCUAGAUAAGUAACCACUUGGGAAUGCCAUGUGCUGUAA